RNAcentral lists this ribosomal RNA (253 nucleotides) under uncultured bacterium. RNAcentral's name for it is "partial 16S ribosomal RNA". It matches the Rfam family "Bacterial small subunit ribosomal RNA", at positions 524 to 776 of the family's 1533-position model. The record is from RNAcentral.
UACGGGGGGGGCGAGCGUUGUUCGGAAUUACUGGGCGUAAAGGGUUUGUAGGUGGUCUGCUAAGUCAGACGUGAAAUCCCUCAGCUUAACUGGGGAACUGCGUCUGAUACUGGCGGACUUGAGGACAGGAGAGGAACGCGGAAUUCCAGGUGUAGCGGUGAAAUGCGUAGAUAUCAGGAGGAACACCGGUGGCGAAGGCGGGUCUCUGGGCCGAUACUGACGCUGAGGUGCGAAAGCGUGGGGAGCAAACAGG